RNAcentral lists this ribosomal RNA (373 nucleotides) under uncultured bacterium. RNAcentral describes it as "bacterial SSU rRNA". It matches the Rfam family "Bacterial small subunit ribosomal RNA", at positions 523 to 898 of the family's 1533-position model. The record is from RNAcentral.
AUACGGAGGAUCCUAGCGUUAUCCGGAAUUAUUGGGUUUAAAGGGUCCGUAGGCGGCUUGAUAAGUCAGCGGUGAAAGUUUUUGGCUUAACCAAAAAAUUGCCGUUGAUACUGUUUAGCUUGAAUAAUUGUGAAGUAACUAGAAUAUGUAGUGUAGCGGUGAAAUGCUUAGAUAUUACAUGGAAUACCAAUUGCGCAGGCAGGUUACUAAUAAUUUAUUGACGCUGAUGGACGAAAGCGUGGGUAGCGAACGGGAUUAGAUACCCCGGUAGUCCACGCCGUAAACGAUGGAUACUAGUUGUUGGAUUUUCGGAUUCAGUGACUAAGCGAAAGUGAUAAGUAUCCCACCUGGGGAGUACGUUCGCAAGAAUGAA